RNAcentral lists this ribosomal RNA (803 nucleotides) under Rhodococcus sp. EC35. RNAcentral's name for it is "bacterial SSU rRNA". It matches the Rfam family "Bacterial small subunit ribosomal RNA", at positions 94 to 910 of the family's 1533-position model. Lineage: Bacteria; Bacillati; Actinomycetota; Actinomycetes; Mycobacteriales; Nocardiaceae. The record is from RNAcentral.
AGCGGCGAACGGGUGAGUAACACGUGGGUGAUCUGCCCUGCACUUCGGGAUAAGCCUGGGAAACUGGGUCUAAUACCGGAUAUGACCUCCUAUCGCAUGGUGUGUGGUGGAAAGAUUUAUCGGUGCAGGAUGGGCCCGCGGCCUAUCAGCUUGUUGGUGGGGUAAUGGCCUACCAAGGCGACGACGGGUAGCCGACCUGAGAGGGUGACCGGCCACACUGGGACUGAGACACGGCCCAGACUCCUACGGGAGGCAGCAGUGGGGAAUAUUGCACAAUGGGCGAAAGCCUGAUGCAGCGACGCCGCGUGAGGGAUGACGGCCUUCGGGUUGUAAACCUCUUUCAGCAGGGACGAAGCGCAAGUGACGGUACCUGCAGAAGAAGCACCGGCUAACUACGUGCCAGCAGCCGCGGUAAUACGUAGGGUGCAAGCGUUGUCCGGAAUUACUGGGCGUAAAGAGUUCGUAGGCGGUUUGUCGCGUCGUUUGUGAAAACCAGCAGCUCAACUGCUGGCUUGCAGGCGAUACGGGCAGACUUGAGUACUGCAGGGGAGACUGGAAUUCCUGGUGUAGCGGUGAAAUGCGCAGAUAUCAGGAGGAACACCGGUGGCGAAGGCGGGUCUCUGGGCAGUAACUGACGCUGAGGAACGAAAGCGUGGGUAGCGAACAGGAUUAGAUACCCUGGUAGUCCACGCCGUAAACGGUGGGCGCUAGGUGUGGGUUCCUUCCACGGAAUCCGUGCCGUAGCUAACGCAUUAAGCGCCCCGCCUGGGGAGUACGGCCGCAAGGCUAAAACUCAAAGGAAU